AAAUCAUCUAUGAUAAGAAGAGUAAAUACAAUGAUUGAUUUAAAGAGAGUUAGGGAUGGUGGAAACCUAAUAUGAAGCGUGUAUUGAAGAACAUCUUUGAGAUGCUAACCGAAAUUGUUUAAAGUAGACUUAGCCGGUAGUCAACCGUUAAAAUGACUAGGUAUUGAUUUUUCAGUACCAAUAUAAGAGAGCGAAAGCUAAUUAGGGUGGCACCGCGUAGAAUAUACGUUCCUAUA
This 236-nucleotide non-coding RNA is filed under the name Clostridium cellulovorans. Its description in RNAcentral is "T-box sequence". It matches the Rfam family "T-box leader". From Rfam's summary of the family: Uncharged tRNA acts as the effector for transcription antitermination of genes in the T-box leader family. T-boxes are found upstream of many aminoacyl-tRNA synthetase genes and some amino acid biosynthetic genes usually in Gram-positive bacteria. The record is from RNAcentral. Lineage: Bacteria; Bacillati; Bacillota; Clostridia; Eubacteriales; Clostridiaceae.